CCUACGGUGUGCAGCAGUGAGGAAUAUUGGUCAAUGGGCGCGAGCCUGAACCAGCCAAGUAGCGUGAAGGAUGACUGCCCUACGGGUUGUAAACUUCUUUUAUAAAGGAAUAAAGUGAGGCACGUGUGCCUUUUUGUAUGUACUUUAUGAAUAAGGAUCGGCUAACUCAGUGCCAGCAGCCGCGGUAAUACGGAGGAUCCGAGCGUUAUCCGGAUUUAUUGGGUUUAAAGGGAGCGUAGAUGGGUUGGUAAGUCAGUUGUGAAAGUUUUCUGCUCAAACGUAAAAUUGCAAUUGAUACUGGCAGCCUUGAGGACAGUUGAGGCAGGCGGAAUUCGUGGUGUAGCGGUGACAUGCUUAGAUAUCACGAAGAACUCCGAUUGCGAAGGCAGCUUACUAAACUGCCACUGACAUUGAUGCUCGAAAGUGUGGGUAUCAAACAGGAGUAGAUACCCCGGUAGUC
Molecule: ribosomal RNA, 460 nt
Filed under: uncultured bacterium
Lineage: Bacteria
Description: partial 16S ribosomal RNA
Rfam family: Bacterial small subunit ribosomal RNA
Source: RNAcentral